Molecule: ribosomal RNA, 2158 nt
Filed under: Physoglenes sp. SP41
Lineage: Eukaryota; Metazoa; Arthropoda; Arachnida; Araneae; Synotaxidae
Description: eukaryotic LSU rRNA
Rfam family: Eukaryotic large subunit ribosomal RNA
Source: RNAcentral
CGCUGAAUCCCAUCCCCUCCGGGGGGUCGGGAAAUGUAGCGUUUAGGAGUGAGCGUACCGGUGGUCGCUUGGGCAGCAAGUCCCCCUGACCGGGGCUGUUACCCAGAGUGGGUGCGAGGCCCAUAGCGGCCCGGGCUUCCGCCGGAUGCGAUCUCCUUGGAGUCGGGUUGCUUGGGAGUGCAACCCUAAGUGGGUGGUAAACUCCACCUAAGGCUAAAUAACCCCGUGAGACCGAUAGCAAACAAGUACCGUGAGGGAAAGUUGCAAAGAACUUUGAAGAGAGAGUUCAAGAGUACGUGAAACUGUUUAGAGGUAAGCGGGUGGGCCCUCGAAAUCCAGUGUCGGGAGGAUUCAGUCGGGCGGCCGCGGACAGUGCUGGCGGGGUGUUCACAAGAAAGGUACCCGUGAGCGGGGCCGGCCCCGUGCGCUGCUUCUGCGCUGCCCGACGCAUUUCUUUCCCGGCCGAAGGACGCCGCAACCGAUUGGGGAACGGCCUUAAGGGCGGUAACGGCAGGUGGCCGGUGGCUCUCCCCUCGUGGGCUGGGUCUGCCGGAUGCUAGCCUUAUCCGUCGCACGGCUCGUGACCCGAUCGUGGUAUCAAGAGGCCCCUUGUGUGGCUCUCAUCGCCUCCUCCUGGACCGAUUUAGAUUCGGGAACACGGCAAGGGAGACGGCAGCGGUUCCCCCACUGUGCGGCCACACGGAGGUAUCCGUGGGCCUGCCGGCGGCGCUAGGGGCCGCGUUGGCUGUCUCGAAUCCGUUGGAGUGCUGGCGGUUAGCGGCGAGUAGAUCGGUCACCCACCCGUCCCGUCUUGAAACACGGACCAAGGAGUCUAACAUGUGUGCGAGUCAAUGGGUCUUGGACAAGCCCAGAGGCGCAAUGAAAGCAAAGGGUGGGGCAUCACGUCCCCCCGCGCUGAGAUCCUCGGCCCUACAGCGGUCGAGGCGCAUCAGAGACCCGCCCUAUGCUCCUCGUAGUUUGGGCGGAGUUCGAGCAUACACGUUGGGACCCGAAAGAUGGUGAUCUAUACCCGGGCAGGACGAAAGCCAGGAGGAAACUCUGGUGGAGGUCCGUAGCGGUUCUGACGUGCAAAUCGAUCGUCAGAUCCGGGUCUAGGGGCGAAAGACUAAUCGAACCAUCUAGUAGCUGGUUCCUUCCGAAGUUUCCCUCAGGAUAGCUGGCGCUCGUUGAAACUCAGUUUCAUCCGGUAAAGCGAAUGAUUAGAGGCCUUGGGGCCGAAACGACCUCAACCUAUUCUCAAACUUUAAAUGGGUKAGAAGUCCGCCUUUCUUAGUCUGAAGGCCGGACGACCGAGAAUGAGAGUGCCCAGUGGGCCACUUUUGGUAAGCAGAACUGGCGCUGUGGGAUGAACCAAACGACGGGUUACGGUGUCCGAUGCGAGACGCUCAUGAGACCCCAUGAAAGGUGUUGGUUGCUCUUGACAGCAGGACGGUGGCCAUGGAAGUUGGAAUCCGCUAAGGAGUGUGUAACAACUCACCUGCCGAAGCAACUAGCCCUGAAAAUGGAUGACGCUCCAGCGUCGAACCUAUACCCGUCCGCUUCUGGCAAAACUCUGUUGUAACGGAGGCUUACGCCGAAGUGAGUAGGAAGGCCGCGACGGCGAGCGUUGAAGGUGCCGGGCGUGAGCCCGCCUGGAGCCGCCGUCGGUGCAGAUCUUGGUGGUAGUAGCAAAUACUCAAGUGAGAACCUUGAGGACUGAAGUUGGAGAAGGGUUCCAUGUGAACAGCAGUUGAACAUGGGUCAGUCGGCCCUAAGGAAUCGGAGAAAUCCGUUCCGAAGCGGGACAUUGACGAGACGAGACUUUGAUCUUUCUUGACAUAGCCCGUCCCGCUGCCGACCGAAAGGGAAUGGGGUCAAUAUUCCCCAACCCGGACACGGAGAUAGAGCCCUCGGGCUCAAGUGCGGUAACGCAACCGAACUCGGAGACGUCGGCGGAGGACCCGGGGAAGAGUUGUCUUUUCUUUGUAAGAGUUCGUGUCCCUGGAAUCGGCUCGUCCGGAGAUAGGGACGCUGUCCUCGUAAAAGCACUGCGGCUCUUGCAGUGUCCGGUGCGCCUCUGCCGGCCCUUGAAAAUCCGAGGGAGAGAGUGUGAUUUUCGUGCCGGUCCGUACCCAUAUCCGCAGCAGGUCUCCAAGGU